Molecule: ribosomal RNA, 449 nt
Filed under: uncultured bacterium
Lineage: Bacteria
Description: partial 16S ribosomal RNA
Rfam family: Bacterial small subunit ribosomal RNA
Source: RNAcentral
AACGAACGCUGGCGGCAUGCCUAACACAUGCAAGUCGAACGAUCCCUUCGGGGAUAGUGGCGCACGGGUGCGUAACGCGUGGGAAUCUGCCCUUGGGUUCGGAAUAACAGUUAGAAAUGACUGCUAAUACCGGAUGAUAUCUUCGGACCAAAGAUUUAUCGCCCAGGGAUGAGCCCGCGUAGGAUUAGGUAGUUGGUGGGGUAAUGGCCUACCAAGCCGACGAUCCUUAGCUGGUCUGAGAGGAUGAUCAGCCACACUGGGACUGAGACACGGCCCAGACUCCUACGGGAGGCAGCAGUGGGGAAUAUUGGACAAUGGGCGCAAGCCUGAUCCAGCAAUGCCGCGUGAGUGAUGAAGGCCUUAGGGUUGUAAAGCUCUUUUACCAGGGAUGAUAAUGACAGUACCUGGAGAAUAAGCUCCGGCUAACUCCGUGCCAGCCGCCGCGGUAA